Cucurbita maxima (winter squash) is the source of this 247-nucleotide long non-coding RNA. RefSeq lists it as uncharacterized. The transcript has 2 exons. Lineage: Eukaryota; Viridiplantae; Streptophyta; Magnoliopsida; Cucurbitales; Cucurbitaceae. The record is from RefSeq and is a predicted model, not a curated record.
AAUUCACCUUCUUUAUUUGUAAGGCUAAGAUCAUCUUGCUCUUUCUUGAAUUCAGGACCUGACUCCAUGGCCAAUUCAAUGAACCGAAGGAGUAAAAGACUGACAAUCAACUUGAAGAAGUGAUUCAGAAUCGCAAUGGGUGAAGAAUCCGUCUGGUGAUUCAAAUUCUUCUCACCCUGUUCUCCUGCUUUAUAGCCUACAAAACGGUUAACCGUUUUGAAACUUUCAAUCUUUUUUAUGCAACUUU